GUACUCUCACACUCUCCAAUCGUUUGGAUUUGGGGAGCGGUGGACUUGGGUGUUUGCUGCUUUCUUUGUGGCUCACCUGAAAUGCCUCAGUGCACCUCUUGGUUGGACAUAGUACGGCGUGAUAAGUGUCUUCGCCGGCACCUCAUUAGAGGGUGGCUGAUCGGGAGCUCUGUGCUUUCGAACCGUCUUCGGACAAUCUCUGACA
Molecule: unclassified non-coding RNA, 205 nt
Filed under: uncultured Sebacinaceae
Lineage: Eukaryota; Fungi; Basidiomycota; Agaricomycetes; Sebacinales; Sebacinaceae
Description: sequence contains ITS2
Source: RNAcentral